AGCGAACACUGGCGGUAGGCUUAACACAUGCAAGUCGAGCGAGGCGUAAUAGUCGAGCGGCGAACGGGUGCGUAAUACAUGGGAAUCUACCUCGAAGUGGGGGAUAACGUCCAGAAAUGGACGCUAAUACCGCAUAAUCCAUAUUGGGAAAGCGUUGCAGCGCUUUGAGAUGAGCCCAUGGCUGAUUAGCUAGUUGGUGAGGUAAUGGCUCACCAAGGCGACGAUCAGUAGCUGGUCUGAGAGGAUGACCAGCCACACUGGAACUGAGACACGGUCCAGACUCCUACGGGAGGCAGCAGUGGGGAAUCUUGCGCAAUGGGGGCAACCCUGACGCAGCCAUACCGCGUGAGUGAUGAAGGUCUUCGGAUUGUAAAGCUCUUUUGGCGGGGACGACGAUGACGGUACCCGCAAAAGAAGUCACGGCUAACUUCGUGCCAGCCGCCGCGGUAA
RNAcentral lists this ribosomal RNA (450 nucleotides) under uncultured bacterium. RNAcentral describes it as "partial 16S ribosomal RNA". It matches the Rfam family "Bacterial small subunit ribosomal RNA", at positions 29 to 523 of the family's 1533-position model. The record is from RNAcentral.